Molecule: ribosomal RNA, 423 nt
Filed under: Hyalinobatrachium mondolfii group sp. ABGD cluster 13
Lineage: Eukaryota; Metazoa; Chordata; Amphibia; Anura; Centrolenidae
Description: partial large subunit ribosomal RNA
Rfam family: Bacterial large subunit ribosomal RNA
Source: RNAcentral
CUUGAAUAAAUAUAAGAGGUCCAGCCUGCCCAGUGACAAUGUUCAACGGCCGCGGUAUCCUAACCGUGCGAAGGUAGCGUAAUCACUUGUUCUUUAAAUAAGGACUAGUAUGAACGGCACCACGAAGGUUACACUGUCUCCUCUUUCUAAUCAGUGAAACUAAUCUCCCCGUGAAGAAGCGGGGAUAAAAAUAUAAGACGAGAAGACCCUAUGGAGCUUUAAACUACAAGGCACUUGCCCCCAUAUAAUCAAAUUCCAGAAAAUCAUUACCACCCAGGCAACAUGACCUUUAGUUUUAGGUUGGGGUGACCGCGGAGCAAAGAAAAACCUCCACAUUGAAAGGAGACCUCUCCUUAGCCAAGAGCCACACCUCUAAGCACCAACAAAAAGACAUUAAUUGACCCAAUAUUUUGAUCAACGAAC